UACGGAGGGUGCAAACGUUGUCCGGAAUCAUUGGGCGUAAAGCGUAUGUAGGCGGCUUAGUAAGUCUGAUAUCAAAGACCGAUGCUUAACAUCGGGCCGGUACCAGAUACUGCUAGGCUAGAGGAUAGCAGGGGUCCAUGGAACUUUCAGUGUAGGAGUGAAAUCCGUAGAUAUUGAAAGGAACACCAAUGGCGAAGGCAAUGUACUGGGCUAUAUCUGACGCUGAGAUACGAAAGCGUGGGGAGCGAACGGG
This 253-nucleotide ribosomal RNA is filed under the name uncultured bacterium. RNAcentral's name for it is "partial 16S ribosomal RNA". It matches the Rfam family "Bacterial small subunit ribosomal RNA", at positions 524 to 776 of the family's 1533-position model. The record is from RNAcentral.